Long non-coding RNA from Micropterus dolomieu (smallmouth bass), 482 nucleotides. RefSeq lists it as uncharacterized. The transcript is spliced from 3 exons. NCBI's taxonomy places the organism in Eukaryota, Metazoa, Chordata, Actinopteri, Centrarchiformes, Centrarchidae. The record is from RefSeq and is a predicted model, not a curated record.
AAACAGGGAGCUUCUAUCCAUAUACUGGCCAGGGAGGUGAGAGGAGCCGCCGAGGACAAGGGCAUAGGGAGGAGCAAGAGAGGAGUGGCGGGGGUGUUGGGGAAGGAGGUGGCCUCUCUCUUCCAAUUGGAGAAGCGGAAGGAGUGGCCAUGGGCUGCGGCUCCUCUCCUCACUACAAGUAAAAGGCGUCUCAGGGAGGGAGUAGGGGAUGGGCUCUACUGCGGCUUUGCGCUUACUACUGGCACAGAACACCCCCCCCCCUUUUCCACACACAUGUCUGUGUUACAGAAGACAAAGGAGAUGAAUGACAUGAAAGAUCAUAUAAAACUACUGAUGAUAUCUACAGCACUGUUGGCCCCCAAAGAAAACUAUAGGCUACUUUACCCCCCUUUAUAUAUCUGUGCUAAUUGUAAGCACAUUGUAUGCACUGCUGCACAAUCAACGCACACUCCCACCGCCAACACACAUGCACAUAUAACAUA